RNAcentral lists this ribosomal RNA (553 nucleotides) under uncultured marine archaeon. RNAcentral's name for it is "bacterial SSU rRNA". It matches the Rfam family "Archaeal small subunit ribosomal RNA", at positions 325 to 879 of the family's 1478-position model. The record is from RNAcentral.
ACGGGGUGCAGCAGGCGCGAAAACUUUGCAAUGUGCGAAAGCACGACAAGGUUAAUCCGAGUGGCCUCUGCUGAAGAGGUCUUUUGACAGUCCUAGAAACACUGUCGAAUAAGGGGUGGGCAAGUUCUGGUGUCAGCCGCCGCGGUAAAACCAGCACCUCAAGUGGUCAGGAUGAUUAUUGGGCCUAAAGCAUCCGUAGCCGGAUCUAUAAGUUUUCGGUUAAAUCUAUGCGCUCAACGUAUAGGCUGCCGGAAAUACUGUGGAUCUAGGGAGUGGGAGAGGUAGACGGUACUCGGUAGGAAGAGGUAAAAUUCACUAAUCUAUCGAUGACCACCUGUGGCGAAGGCGGUCUACCAGAACACGUCCGACGGUGAGGGAUGAAAGCUGGGGGAGCAAACCGGAUUAGAUACCCGGGUAGUCCCAGCUGUAAACAAUGCAAACUCAAUGAUGCAUCGGGUUGAACCCGGUGCAGUGUUGCAGGGAAGCCGUUAAGUUUGCCGCCUGGGAAGUACGUACGCAAGUAUGAAACUUAAAGGAAUUGGCGGGGGAGCAC